RNAcentral lists this ribosomal RNA (441 nucleotides) under uncultured bacterium. Its description in RNAcentral is "partial 16S ribosomal RNA". It matches the Rfam family "Bacterial small subunit ribosomal RNA", at positions 338 to 795 of the family's 1533-position model. The record is from RNAcentral.
CCUACGGGUGGCAGCAGUGGGGAAUAUUGCACAAUGGGGGAAACCCUGAUGCAGCGACGCCGCGUGAGGGAAGACGGUUUUCGGAUUGUAAACUUCUGUUCUUAGGGAAGAAAAAUGAGGGACGCGAAGGAGCAAGCCACGGCUAACUACGUGCCAGCAGCCGCGGUAAUACGUAGGUGGCAAGGGUUGUCCGGAUUUACUGGGUGUAAAGGGAGCGCAGGCGGGAAGCCAAGUCAGCGGUGAAAACUACGGGCUUAACUUGUAGACUGCAGUUGAAACUGGGUUUCUUGAGUGAAGUAGAGGUAGGCGGAAUUCCGGGUGUAGCGGUGAAAUGCGUAGAUAUUAGGAGGAACACCGGUGGCGAAGGCGGCCAACUGGGCUGUAACUGACGCUGAGGCUCGAAAGCGUGGGGAGCAAACAGGAUUAGAUACCCUAGUAGUC